This 253-nucleotide ribosomal RNA is filed under the name uncultured bacterium. Its description in RNAcentral is "partial 16S ribosomal RNA". It matches the Rfam family "Bacterial small subunit ribosomal RNA", at positions 524 to 776 of the family's 1533-position model. The record is from RNAcentral.
GACGUAGGGAGCGAGCGUUGUCCGGAUUCAUUGGGCGUAAAGCGCGCGUAGGCGGCCUCGCAAGUCGGUUGUGAAAUCCCGGGGCUCAACCCCGGGACUGCGUCCGAUACUGCGAGGCUGGAGGUAGGUAGGGGAGAUCGGAAUUCCUGGUGUAGCGGUGAAAUGCGUAGAUAUCAGGAGGAAUACCGAUGGCGAAGGCAGGUCUCUGGGCUGACACUGACGCUCAUGCACGAAAGCGUGGGGAGCAAACAGG